Molecule: non-coding RNA, 45 nt
Filed under: Schistosoma mansoni
Lineage: Eukaryota; Metazoa; Platyhelminthes; Trematoda; Strigeidida; Schistosomatidae
Source: RNAcentral
AUCCAGUUGACGAGUCCUAAAUAGGACGAGAUUCGCAUCUUGGAU